UAGGUUUGAAAAGCUAGCUGACCUAGG
This 27-nucleotide non-coding RNA is filed under the name Mus musculus (house mouse). Lineage: Eukaryota; Metazoa; Chordata; Mammalia; Rodentia; Muridae. The record is from RNAcentral.